This is a long non-coding RNA of Onychostoma macrolepis, 4691 nucleotides long. RefSeq lists it as uncharacterized. The record is from RefSeq and is a predicted model, not a curated record. NCBI's taxonomy places the organism in Eukaryota, Metazoa, Chordata, Actinopteri, Cypriniformes, Cyprinidae. The transcript has 3 exons.
CAGUUACACCCCACUCGUGAUUUUUUUAAGCUGUUAUGUUUCUUAAAAAGACGGUUGCUAACAAGUUGCUAAAUGGGACUACAGGCGCUGUCGGAGACAUUAAACGUCAUCACGCCGAACAGUUUAUCAAUAUACAGUAUUUUCCAGUUGUAGUAUAAUUUGUAAUUCAAUUAAUUUUAGGAUAACCAAUGAAUAGUUUACAGCAUUUUAUAUUGUUGUUCGAUGUUGUUGUUUUUUUUUUUUUGCUUUGCCCCGAAAUGCGACACGUUUUCAGAGGGAAGAUGCUUGUUUUAUCGCUUUACUGACACGGAGACUCUCCGCACCAUAAGGUAAACGCAUAUUACGAUUAUUACAUGUAAACACCACAUUUGCCGGCUUAACGUGGUGAAAGUUAAACUUUAAUGAUGCAUAUUGCUUAAAGGCAUGUAAAAAUUAAAUGUUUGCGGCCACAUGAAGCGGUUAGAAAACAUAGAUUGAGGAUUUCCUUGAAGCACGGAUAAAAUAACAUUUUGUGUGCCAAUCCUAACAAAAUGAGAGCUGAAAUGUGGUACUUUGUUCACUAAAUAAGUUUAAACUUACCAUAUCCAAAAACUCGCUCACUCUGCUGUUAUUUAAAUACGCGGGGAUACGUUUUUUAUUAAAAUAUUCAUAUUAAUCAAGGAUUUAUUGACUUUUAAUGCACCUUAUUUCGAAAUGUACAGAAAUACGUGCUUUAAAUGUCCUUUAGUUAUGAUUUAUUCACUAUACUAUUUAUUACUAAUGUCUCAUUUCAGUUUUAGUUUGUCUCUAGUUUUGUAUUUAUUCAUGAAACGGUUCCUGUAGCGUGGAUUAAAAUUCAUAUACAGAGUAAAUCCUUCACUGAACAUGUUAAAAAUAAGUUUGAAACAGUUCUCGGGAGCGCUGUGGUGAUGACGCUGAAGGCGAGCGACCGUGGUGGUGUAGUUCGUUUAUAGCCUAAGUUUAGCUUUUCAGUUCUGGCGCUUUUAUUUCGGCUUCAAAAUUCGUCAAAGAUAUAUUAUCUUGUCAAGAUAUCUUGAUGGACAAAACGUGUAAGUUUCAUGAACUAUGGUUGAACACAGAGCUUAUUUUUUGCGAUAAUCCAAAAGCCUAUGGGAAAAUCCUAUUGGCUUUUUGCCGAAGGAACCAGUUUCAUGCUAACCGCCGAUCCGCCUACAAAGUGACCUCAUAGUUCCCCCACUCUAUAGUGGUUGCUUGUGGCAACACAGCACAACUUCCUGUGUUUGCAUUCUGAGCAGCGAAGAAGAAUUGAUUUCCGUUUUGCAGCGUUAUGCAAAGCUAUGCAAAGCAAAACUAGAGGUCUCGUUUAAGAAAAUGGUAACGGAUCGGUACAUGGGUUCAAGUACUCAUCGAUACCGAUGCCAGAAUUUGUUGUGGUAUCGGUGGAAUUUCCGAUACUAGUAUCGGAAUCGGAAACAACCCUAGAUAUAUUAAAAUAGCAAACACUUAUUUAAUUGUGCAAACUGUGCCAUAGUAUGGUAAAUUGCAUAACUACAUUAUGUUGCUGAAAUCAUCUUUCUCCAUUGACAGCUGUCCAAACUUCUCAUGGUUUCUAAUUGAGAUCUAAUUGUCUUCAUAGCAACAUAUGAAGUAUAAAUAAAUAAGAAAUUCAAAUAAUUCCCAAAAUUUUUAAAAAGAUCAAAUUUAAUCAUAACAAUUUUGAAAUAAUAUUUUCCAUAUAAUUUAUAAAUGGCAACAAAAUGUUGUCUUUACAAUAUUACACUCAUUGAGUCUUAAAUAUAGCUGCCUUUAUAUGAUUGAUCCAAAUAAAUGCUGAAGUCUUCAUCUGUCACGCUUUAAUAAUUGAUUUUUUAACAGUAACAAUACCAAAAAAAAGGUGCUUCAAAGCUGCUCUUUCAAGAUGGAAAACUUGGAAGCAACAAGUCAUUGCCUCCUAUUAUAUACUGUAAAGUGUCUAAAUAAAAAAAAAGAAAUGAAUUCAUUUUAAAGUAUGUUCAAACAGGCCACUUUAAUACACAUAAUCUCCGUUCCUCUAUAGCACAUUUGUGCAAAGAGCUCUUGUAAUUUCCUGAAAUAACAAAGUAAAGCAUUAAAUGUAAUUGUAUGUGAUUUUUUUCAUGCUGGGAACAUUUUCUCAGUCUAAGUCAUUACCUCAAUGACCCCCUCAUUGAUACAUGGCAGUUUGCUGGUCGGCAUGUGAUUUAUGAGCCCGUUUUGUCUGAUUGCCUCAUAAAGGAGUCUUUUUCCCUCUGCCCAUCUCAGCAGUGACCAACAAUAAAAGAGAGCGGUUGGCAGCUAUUAAAUAAAUAUUUAUCCACAGGCUCCUCUGCGGCUUUUCCCCCUCCAGCCGUACGUCUCAGUCUGGGAUGGAAAGGAGCAAGAAAAGUGAAGUAGGUGCUUUUUAAUCAAGAGAGAAAGCAAUGAGUGCAGCAGGAUGUAACAAAUACCCCCGUGCUGUGCUGGGCUGAGGAGGAGGCAAGAGCCAUACGGUAAUGAAGUGAGACAGGGACAUGUAUGGACAGGACAAAUCACUUGGCUGCUCAGCCACGGUUCCCCUCUCGCUUUAUCAAGGGCCAAGCAUUCCACGUAAUCCCCGCCAAUCAAUUACCCUUCACAGAGAAAGUCAAUCAACCAACCCCUGUCGGCUAUUCUUAGCUAGACCUGUACUGAAGGCAACUGCAAUGAAGCAUCAAGAAAGACAUGAGCAGGCCAGCCACCCUGAGACUGAUAAUUCAUGGUAAGAGAACAACUAUGGUUUUGAGAGGUUUGUGUCACGAAUCUGGUCUGUGGCCUUCCGCCAGAUAGCCACCAGAGGUCGCCAUUCCAUCGAAUUGACUCUUGCACUACACUACUGUUGCACAUCACCCACGGACUACAAUACCCAUCAUCCAUUGCACUGACGACACACACACACACACACACACAGCUGAUUGCACUGAUUACACAGCUUACGUAAACCAUGAACUUCCCUGCACAGAUUGCCGAGUAUUGUCUAGCGUUUAGCACUCUCCUAGUGUUAGCUACUUACCAAGCCUUUCCAUGUUUGUUUUGUGUUUAGUCUCCUGUAUGGUUCUGUGUUUAUCACUCACCUAGUGAUAGCUGCCUUACAGAGCCUAGUUUCCUAUCUUAGUUCCAGUCUUAGUCUAGUUUUUCGUAUUGCCUUGUUGUCUGUCUCUUGAUCUUCUGCCUUAAGCCCAAUUUAUACUUCUGCGUCGAACCUACGCCAUAGCCUACGCAGAGACGCACAGGCCUGCGCCGUACCUGACGUGCACCUCUCCAAAAACAGUGCGUCAAUUCUACGCGGACUGCAAGCGCUGUGAUUGGUCUGCUAGAACCCCUCCCCCCGUAUGCACUUGAGUUUUGUGUGCGUUUAUAAGCACUGUUAUAUAGUUUAAUGUUACACCUUCUUUAGAAUAAAACAAAGCAAAGAACAAGUGUCUUAUCAUUUAUUACACUACACAGCAUUAUACAUCACUAGUUGUCCACGACAAACAAUGUUGAUCUGCCGUGGUACACGUCCUUAUAGAGAUUGUAAGGAUGCCAUCUUCUCCUGUUCCAUUGUUGUCUCCUUUUUGUAGUUUUAAAUAAUGAUUUGAUAUUUAUUUGCCACCGUCACGGCUAUGCUUCUCCGACGAGCCGCUUCUUCUUCGGCUUUUGCUGUGGUACUGCGGGUUCACAAGCAACAUGCCCGUGGACACUGCAGACUAGCGGUGUGUGUAUUGCAGCGGACUACAAUGUGUACUGCACGUCGACGCGGACAACGACGCAGAAGUAUAAAUGAAAACCGACGUACAGCUUACGGCGUAGGUCCGACGCAGAAGUAUAAAUUGGGUUUUAGUAUCUUGGAUUAACCCUUUGCCUGCUGUUUCGGACUCUGUUUGCACCUCGCCUGGAUUAUUGCUCACGUUAUCGGAUUACCCCUCUUGUCAAGCCCUCUGGAUAUUGUUCGCCGAUCGUCGACCCACGCUUGUCCUAGGAUUGCUCCGUGUCUUGCCUAUGCCAUACCUGUUUGCCAUUGUUCGACCCUGUCUGUGCUUAUGACCAUGUCUCUGUCUAAAUAAAGCUUUGUACGUGGAUCCGCACGUCUCGUUUGCCCCGUUACAGUUUGUGUAUUCUAUAUGGGCUUUGCCUUUUAAAAGUGUCAUUUCUAGGCAUUUCUGUCACUAACAAAGUGGAUGGCGAGAAAAGGUUGUGGCCACGUUUUGGAGCAGCACCUGGGUUUUGCAGAUGGCUAUGUAUUCUUUGGCUGUUUGUUUUUUUUCCCCAUUAUGUUUCUGUUGCCUAAAGAUUCUUUGUGAGGAUGAAUCCAGAGGACACAACAUAAUGCACUGCAAAACGUCCUAAGACAGGAGAAAUGGUGAAGUUGCACUGUUCCAGCAUUGGAAGACUCCAUACUGUGGCGAGUGGGGCGGGGCCGGUGGAGUUCAUGAUAAUGAGCGACACCUGCGCCACUCGCCGGUCUCGAGUCCCACGGAGGAGCUCCGGAAGGAUAAAAGGAGGAGUGACUACAGUGGAAGACGAGAGAGGACCAGGCCUGGACUUUUAUUUGUGUUUUUGUGUGCGGCAGUCGUCCGUGAGGGGCUGCUGCUUUACUUUUAUGUUUGUUUAUUUUAUUAUUAAAGUGUAUGAAUGUUCGCCGGUUCCCGCCUCCUCCUUCCCGAUCUACGAACUGUGUUACACAUACCAAUUCAUUUGAGUGUGUAUAAUUGUGU